This 496-nucleotide ribosomal RNA is filed under the name uncultured bacterium. Its description in RNAcentral is "bacterial SSU rRNA". It matches the Rfam family "Bacterial small subunit ribosomal RNA", at positions 29 to 520 of the family's 1533-position model. The record is from RNAcentral.
AUUGAACGCUGGCGGCGUGCCUAACACAUGCAAGUCGAGCGGUAACAGGUGUAGCAAUACAUGCUGACGAGCGGCGGACGGGUGAGUAACGCUUGGGAAUCUGCCUAUUAGUGGGGGACAACCCGGGGAAACUCGGGCUAAUACCGCAUACGCACUACGGUGGAAAGCCGGGGACCGCAAGGCCUGGCGCUAACAGAUGAGCCCAAGUCGGAUUAGCUAGUUGGUAGGGUAACGGCCUACCAAGGCGACGAUCCGUAACUGGUCUGAGAGGACGACCAGUCACACCGGAACUGAGACACGGUCCGGACUCCUACGGGAGGCAGCAGUGGGGAAUAUUGGACAAUGGGCGAAAGCCUGAUCCAGCGACGCCGCGUGGGUGAAGGAGGCCUGCGGGUUGUAAAGCCCUUUCAGUGGGGAAGAAAGCCUCGAGCUAACACCUCGGGGUCUUGACGUAACCCAUAGAAGAAGCACCGGCUAACUCUGUGCCAGCCCGCCG